Long non-coding RNA from Eriocheir sinensis (Chinese mitten crab), 1311 nucleotides. RefSeq lists it as uncharacterized. The transcript is spliced from 3 exons. The record is from RefSeq and is a predicted model, not a curated record. Lineage: Eukaryota; Metazoa; Arthropoda; Malacostraca; Decapoda; Varunidae.
UAGAUAACAUUGCAGUGGAUUUCAGCUUUAUGACAGUGACAAUAGUGGUAGGUAGAUAACAUUGCAGUGGAUUUCAGCUUUACGACAGUGACAAUAGUGGUAGGUAGAUAACAUUGCAGUGGAUUUCAGCUUUACGACAGUGACAAUAGUGGUAGGCAGAUAACAUUGCAGUGGAUUUCAGCUUUACGACAGUGACAGUAGUGGUAGGUAGAUAACAUUGCAGUGGAUUUCAGCUUUACGACAGUGACAGUAGUGGUGGGUAGAUAACAUUGCAGUGGAUUUCAGCUUCAUGACAGUGACAAUAGUGGUAGGUAGAUAACAUUGCAGUGGAUUUCAGCUUCAUGACAGUGAGAAUAGUGGUAGGUAGAUAACAUUGCAGUGGAUUUCAGCUUUAUGACAGUGACAAUAGUGGUAGGUAGAUAACAUUGCACUGGAUUUCAGCUUCUUGACAGUGACAAUAGUGGUAGGUAGAUAACAUUGCAGUGGAUUUCAGCUUCAUGACAGUGAGAAUAGUUGUAGGUAGAUAAGUAUUCAGCUUGCUAGUGAUAAUCUUAUGGGUGGCGAUCAACGAGAGUGACGGCAAGUCUGGAUAAGGAUAAUAACACCAGCUGCGGCGCGUACAUGGUGAUGAUGGUGUUGGUGAUGCUGGUGGAGGUCGUGGUGGUAAUUUUUAGUGGUGGUGGUGCCGGCCUGACAGACGCACAAGUCCUGACUCGCUUUCCUGCCUCCUGAUUGGCCGCCCAAGGGAGAGACUGACCUUUUAUUUCAGUGUGGAAUUACCUCCUUUCCUCAACCCUUCUCUCUUCCCUUCCUCCGACGACAUCUCUCUUCCACAGUUCUCUCCUUUCUCUCUCGUACAUCUUUCUUCAACCCUUCUCCAUUUUUUUUCUUCCGCCCCUUUCUCUCCAUCUUACUGCUCCCUCUCUUCCUCCCUUCUUCCGACAACAUCCUUCUUCUGCCCUUUCUUCUAUUUUUCCUCCUUCCCUCUCUUCCUUCUCCUACAUCUUCUACCUUCCUUCUUCAGCAUCUACACUUCCUUCCUCCUCCUCCACCUCCCCUUUCUUCCAUCCUUAACUCUUCCCUCCCUUCCUUUUCCAUUCCUCUCCACCACCUCCUGCUCCAUGGCUCCACCCUUACCUGCCAUCCGUCCUUCCAUCCAUCAUUUCCAUGCUUUACCUACCCCCAUACUUUCUCUUCCCCCUACAAUUUUUCUCAUCAAUCCUUAUUUAUUUCCAUUUCCUCUUUAACUUUGCAUUUAUUCCUAUUUCCUUCCAAACUUUCGUCCCUCGUUUCUUCGCAUAUUAUUCCAUU